GCCGCGGUCGCAUAACCUGGUAGCGCGCAGGAUUGCUAAUCCUGUUUCCGAAAGGAUAUCUGGGUUCAAAUCCCAGCCGCGGCGCCA
Molecule: transfer RNA, 87 nt
Filed under: Candidatus Woesearchaeota archaeon
Lineage: Archaea; Nanobdellati; Candidatus Woesearchaeota
Description: tRNA-Ser
Rfam family: tRNA
About the family: Transfer RNA (tRNA) molecules are approximately 80 nucleotides in length. Their secondary structure includes four short double-helical elements and three loops (D, anti-codon, and T loops). Further hydrogen bonds mediate the characteristic L-shaped molecular structure. tRNAs have two regions of fundamental functional importance: the anti-codon, which is responsible for specific mRNA codon recognition, and the 3' end, to which the tRNAs corresponding amino acid is attached (by aminoacyl-tRNA synthetases). tRNAs cope with the degeneracy of the genetic code in two manners: having more than one tRNA (with a specific anti-codon) for a particular amino acid; and 'wobble' base-pairing, i.e. permitting non-standard base-pairing at the 3rd anti-codon position.
Source: RNAcentral